CCUACGGGCGGCAGCAGUGGGGAAUAUUGGACAAUGGGGGCAACCCUGAUCCAGCCAUGCCGCGUGUGUGAAGAAGGCCCUCGGGUUGUAAAGCACUUUCAGUGAGGAAGAACGCCUGGUGGUUAAUACCCAUCAGGAAAGACAUCACUCACAGAAGAAGCACCGGCUAACUCCGUGCCAACAGCCGCGGUAAUACGGAGGGUGCGAGCGUUAAUCGGAAUUACUGGGCGUAAAGCGCGCGUAGGUGGCUUGAUAAGCCGGUUGUGAAAGCCCCGGGCUCAACCUGGGAACGGCAUCCGGAACUGUCAAGCUAGAGUGCAGGAGAGGAAGGUAGAAUUCCCGGUGUAGCGGUGAAAUGCGUAGAGAUCGGGAGGAAUACCAGUGGCGAAGGCGGCCUUCUGGACUGACACUGACACUGAGGUGCGAAAGCGUGGGUAGCAAACAGGAUUAGAUACCCUGGUAGUC
Molecule: ribosomal RNA, 465 nt
Filed under: Vreelandella stevensii
Lineage: Bacteria; Pseudomonadati; Pseudomonadota; Gammaproteobacteria; Oceanospirillales; Halomonadaceae
Description: partial 16S ribosomal RNA
Rfam family: Bacterial small subunit ribosomal RNA
Source: RNAcentral